This 119-nucleotide ribosomal RNA is filed under the name Pteropus alecto (black flying fox). The record is from RNAcentral. Lineage: Eukaryota; Metazoa; Chordata; Mammalia; Chiroptera; Pteropodidae.
AUCUACAGCCAUGUUACCCUGAACAAGACCGAUCCUAUCUGAUCUUGGAAGCUAAGCAGGAUUGGUCCUGGUUAGUACUUGGAUGGGAGACCAUCUAGGAAGACCAGGUACUGAAGGCA